GAGUUUGAUCUUGGCUCAGGACGAACGCUGGCGGCGUGCUUAACACAUGCAAGUCGAACGGUAAGGCUCCAGCUUGCUGGGUACACGAGUGGCGAACGGGUGAGUAACACGUGGUGACCUGCCUGCACUUCGGGAUAAGCCUGGGAAACUGGGUCUAAUACCGGAUAGGACCGCACCGUGAGGGUGUGGUAGGUAAAGUUUUUC
This 204-nucleotide ribosomal RNA is filed under the name uncultured microorganism. Its description in RNAcentral is "partial 16S ribosomal RNA". It matches the Rfam family "Bacterial small subunit ribosomal RNA", at positions 9 to 212 of the family's 1533-position model. The record is from RNAcentral.